RNAcentral lists this ribosomal RNA (556 nucleotides) under uncultured bacterium. Its description in RNAcentral is "partial 16S ribosomal RNA". It matches the Rfam family "Bacterial small subunit ribosomal RNA", at positions 353 to 900 of the family's 1533-position model. The record is from RNAcentral.
AGUAGGGAAUCUUCCACAAUGGACGCAAGUCUGAUGGAGCAACGCCGCGUGAGUGAAGAAGGUUUUCGGACCGUAAAGCUCUGUUGUUGGUGAAGAAGGAUAGAGGUAGUAACUGGCCUUUAUCUGACGGUAAUCAACCAGAAAGUCACGGCUAACUACGUGCCAGCAGCCGCGGUAAUACGUAGGUGGCAAGCGUUGUCCGGAUUUAUUGGGCGUAAAGCGAGCGCAGGCGGAAGAAUAAGUCUGAUGUGAAAGCCCUCGGCUUAACCGAGGAAUUGCAUCGGAAACUGUUUUCUUGAGUGCAGAAGAGGAGAGUAGAACUCCAUGUGUAGCGGUGGAAUGCGUAGAUAUAUGGAAGAAUACCAGUGGCGAAGGCGGCUCUCUGGUCUGCAACUGACGCUGAGGCUCGAAAGCAUGGGUAGCGAACAGGAUUAGAUACCCUGGUAGUCCAUGCCGUAAACGAUGAGUGCUAAGUGUUGGGAGGCUUCCGCCUCUCAGUGCUGCAGCUAACGCAUUAAGCACUCCGCCUGGGGGAGUACGACCGCAAGGUUGAAAC